Molecule: ribosomal RNA, 427 nt
Filed under: uncultured Pseudoflavonifractor sp.
Lineage: Bacteria; Bacillati; Bacillota; Clostridia; Eubacteriales; Oscillospiraceae
Description: bacterial SSU rRNA
Rfam family: Bacterial small subunit ribosomal RNA
Source: RNAcentral
UGGGGAAUAUUGGGGCAAUGGGGCGCAAGCCUGACCCAGCAACGCCGCGUGAAGGAAGAAGGCCCUCGGGUUGUAAACUUCAGUCAACAGGGAAGAAACAAAUGACGGUACCUGUGGAGGAAGCCACGGCUAACUACGUGCCAGCAGCCGCGGUAAUACGUAGGUGGCGAGCGUUAUCCGGAUUUACUGGGUGUAAAGGGUGUGUAGGCGGGACGGCAAGUCAGAUGUGAAAACUAUGGGCUUAACUCAUAGCCUGCAUUUGAAACUGCUGUUCUUGAGUGUCGGAGAGGUAGAUGGAAUUCCGUGUGUAGCGGUGAAAUGCGUAGAUAUACGGAGGAACACCAGUGGCGAAGGCGGUCUACUGGACGAUUACUGACGCUGAGACACGAAAGUGUGGGGAGCAAACAGGAUUAGAUACCCUGGUAGU